RNAcentral lists this ribosomal RNA (446 nucleotides) under uncultured soil bacterium. RNAcentral's name for it is "bacterial SSU rRNA". It matches the Rfam family "Bacterial small subunit ribosomal RNA", at positions 26 to 518 of the family's 1533-position model. The record is from RNAcentral.
AGAACGAACGCUGGCGGCAUGCCUAAUACAUGCAAGUCGAACGAACUCUUCGGAGUUAGUGGCGCACGGGUGCGUAACGCGUGGGAAUCUGCCCCUUGGUUCGGAAUAACAGUUGGAAACGACUGCUAAUACCGGAUGAUGACGAAAGUCCAAAGAUUUAUCGCCAAGGGAUGAGCCCGCGUAGGAUUAGCUAGUUGGUGAGGUAAAGGCUCACCAAGGCAACGAUCCUUAGCUGGUCUGAGAGGAUGAUCAGCCACACUGGGACUGAGACACGGCCCAGACUCCUACGGGAGGCAGCAGUAGGGAAUAUUGGACAAUGGGCGAAAGCCUGAUCCAGCAAUGCCGCGUGAGUGAUGAAGGCCUUAGGGUUGUAAAGCUCUUUUACCCGAGAUGAUAAUGACAGUAUCGGAGAAUAAGCCCCGGACUAACUCCGUGCCAGCAGCCGC